RNAcentral lists this transfer RNA (76 nucleotides) under Gammaproteobacteria bacterium. Its description in RNAcentral is "tRNA-Leu". It matches the Rfam family "tRNA". Rfam says of the family: Transfer RNA (tRNA) molecules are approximately 80 nucleotides in length. Their secondary structure includes four short double-helical elements and three loops (D, anti-codon, and T loops). Further hydrogen bonds mediate the characteristic L-shaped molecular structure. tRNAs have two regions of fundamental functional importance: the anti-codon, which is responsible for specific mRNA codon recognition, and the 3' end, to which the tRNAs corresponding amino acid is attached (by aminoacyl-tRNA synthetases). tRNAs cope with the degeneracy of the genetic code in two manners: having more than one tRNA (with a specific anti-codon) for a particular amino acid; and 'wobble' base-pairing, i.e. permitting non-standard base-pairing at the 3rd anti-codon position. The record is from RNAcentral. Lineage: Bacteria; Pseudomonadati; Pseudomonadota; Gammaproteobacteria.
AGCCCUGUAUCCCAAUUGGCAGAGGAAUCCGACUUAAAAUCGGCUAGUGUGGGUUCGAAUCCCACCAGGGCUACCA